UACUAUACUAAAACUUAAGUAAAAACUUGAAUAUUAUAAGGUAAAAGCUUUAAAUUCAAAGAAUUUGGCGGUAAUUUAGUCUUUCCAGAGGAACCUGUUUUGUAAUCGAUAAACCACGAAUAAUCUUACUUGUCAUUACAGCUUGUAUACCGUCAUUAUCAGAUAAUAUUUAAAGAUAAGAUUAUUAAAUUUUUAAUAAAAAUAAAAAUUAGAUCAAGGUGCAGCCUAUGGAUAAGUUAAAAUGGGUUACAAUUAGGUAAACAUAAGAUGGAGUAAACACUGAAAGAGGUUUAUGAAGGAGGAUUUGGUUGUAAUGAAAAUUAGUACGAUUAAAAGAUAUAAGCUCUAGAUUAU
Molecule: ribosomal RNA, 354 nt
Filed under: Mithraculus coryphe
Lineage: Eukaryota; Metazoa; Arthropoda; Malacostraca; Decapoda; Mithracidae
Description: partial 12S ribosomal RNA
Source: RNAcentral